Molecule: transfer RNA, 56 nt
Filed under: Amblyomma fimbriatum (goanna tick)
Lineage: Eukaryota; Metazoa; Arthropoda; Arachnida; Ixodida; Ixodidae
Description: tRNA-Cys
Source: RNAcentral
AAUAAAAUCCUAAAUUAAAAUAAAUUAAACUGCAAAUUUAAUUAAGAAAAUUAUUU